Manis javanica (Malayan pangolin) is the source of this 394-nucleotide non-coding RNA. The record is from RefSeq and is a predicted model, not a curated record. NCBI's taxonomy places the organism in Eukaryota, Metazoa, Chordata, Mammalia, Pholidota, Manidae.
UCCAGAAAAAGGCAGACAACUUUUGACUGCUGCUCCUCCAGCCACUGGCUCCAGUAAGACAGCAUAAGGCCAGUGGAGAUGAAACACCUGUCCCUCACCACACCUUCAGCUUGCACACUGCCUGGACGCACUGACUGAUGAACAGCUAUGAGGCCGCGCUUGGUCCCUGGCUGAGGAGUGGUGUCAGCAACAGCAACUAGAGGUCACCUGUCUUCAAACAGACUCUGGGAAGACGAUUUCGAGACAGGAAACAAAACCUGCAGUCAUAGGAUGUGGCAUUGAAGGGAUAAUGGUGAUUUUUCUAAUCCAAAUGUAUCAUUUUACAGGAAGAACAAAUGAUGUAAACCACAAGACCGACGAAGUCUCUCAGGAGUUCCUGGUGUCUCACAUUACA